Molecule: ribosomal RNA, 439 nt
Filed under: bacterium CPTAC33
Lineage: Bacteria
Description: bacterial SSU rRNA
Rfam family: Bacterial small subunit ribosomal RNA
Source: RNAcentral
UGAAUGCGAAGAACCUUACCAGCCCUUGACAUGUCCAGGACCGGUCGCAGAGAUGUGACCCUCUCUUCGGAGCCUGGAGCACAGGUGCUGCAUGGCUGUCGUCAGCUCGUGUCGUGAGAUGUUGGGUUAAGUCCCGCAACGAGCGCAACCCCCGUCCUUAGUUGCUACCAUUUAGUUGAGCACUCUAAGGAGACUGCCGGUGAUAAGCCGCGAGGAAGGUGGGGAUGACGUCAAGUCCUCAUGGCCCUUACGGGCUGGGCUACACACGUGCUACAAUGGCGGUGACAAUGGGAAGCGAAGGCGCAAGUCCUAGCAAAUCUCAAAAAGCCGUCUCAGUUCGGAUUGGGCUCUGCAACUCGAGCCCAUGAAGUUGGAAUCUGCAAGUAAUCGUGGAUCAGCACGCCACGGUGAAUACGUUCCCGGGUCUUGUACACACGCA